CAGUCGCCGCGGGAAUACGAAGGGUGCAAGCGUUAAUCGGAAUUACUGGGCGUAAAGCGUGCGCAGGCGGUGAUGUAAGACAGUUGUGAAAUCCCCGGGCUCAACCUGGGAACUGCAUCUGUGACUGCAUCGCUGGAGUGCGGCAGAGGGGGAUGGAAUUCCGCGUGUAGCAGUGAAAUGCGUAGAUAUGCGGAGGAACACCGAUGGCGAAGGCAAUCCCCUGGGCCUGCACUGACGCUCAUGCACGAAAGCGUGGGGAGCAAACAGGAUUAGAUACCCGAGUAGUCCCUGUCUCUUAUAC
RNAcentral lists this ribosomal RNA (301 nucleotides) under uncultured bacterium. RNAcentral describes it as "partial 16S ribosomal RNA". It matches the Rfam family "Bacterial small subunit ribosomal RNA", at positions 509 to 807 of the family's 1533-position model. The record is from RNAcentral.